Molecule: ribosomal RNA, 497 nt
Filed under: uncultured bacterium
Lineage: Bacteria
Description: partial 16S ribosomal RNA
Rfam family: Bacterial small subunit ribosomal RNA
Source: RNAcentral
GAUGAACGCUGGCGGCGUGCCUAAUACAUGCAAGUCGAGCGAACAGAUCUGGAGCUUGCUCUUCUGACGUUAGCGGCGGAUGGGUGAGUAACACGUGGAUAACCUACCUAUAUGACUGGGAUAACUUCGGGAAACCGGAGUUAAUACCGGAUAAUAUUUUGAACCGCAUGGUCUAAUAGUGAAUGACGGUUUUGCUGUCACCUAUAGAUGGAUCAGCGCGGCAUUAGGUAGUUGGUAAGGUAACGGCUUACCAAGGGAGCGAUGCGUAGCGGACUCGAGCGCGGGAUGGGGCACAUAGAGAGUGACAGGCCCUCCAGGCUCAUAGGGUAGGCACCGAUAGCGAAGCUUCCGCACUGGGCGAAAUCCUGGCGAAGCAGCGGCGGCUGGAUGAUGAAAGGCUGCGGGUCGUAAGACUCUGUUAUUAGUGUAGAACAAUUAUGUAAGUAACGAUGCACUGCUUGACGGUAGCUGAUCAGGAAGCCACGGCUAACUACGUG